GAACCACUUCGGUGGGGAUUAGUGGCGAACGGGUGAGUAACACGUGGGCAAUCUGCCCUGCACUCUGGGACAAGCCCUGGAAACGGGGUCUAAUACCGGAUACUGAGCCUCGCAGGCAUCUGCGGGGUUCGAAAGCUCCGGCGGUGCAGGAUGAGCCCGCGGCCUAUCAGCUUGUUGGUGAGGUAAUGGCUCACCAAGGCGACGACGGGUAGCCGGCCUGAGAGGGCGACCGGCCACACUGGGACUGAGACACGGCCCAGACUCCUACGGGAGGCAGCAGUGGGGAAUAUUGCACAAUGGGCGCAAGCCUGAUGCAGCGACGCCGCGUGAGGGAUGACGGCCUUCGGGUUGUAAACCUCUUUCAGCAGGGAAGAAGCGAAAGUGACGGUACCUGCAGAAGAAGCGCCGGCUAACUACGUGCCAGCAGCCGCGGUAAUACGUAGGGCGCGAGCGUUGUCCGGAAUUAUUGGGCGUAAAGAGCUCGUAGGCGGCUUGUCACGUCGGUUGUGAAAGCCCGGGGCUUAACCCCGGGUCUGCAGUCGAUACGGGCAGGCUAGAGUUCGGUAGGGGAGAUCGGAAUUCCUGGUGUAGCGGUGAAAUGCGCAGAUAUCAGGAGGAACACCGGUGGCGAAGGCGGAUCUCUGGGCCGAUACUGACGCUGAGGAGCGAAAGCGUGGGGAGCGAACAGGAUUAGAUACCCUGGUAGUCCACGCCGUAAACGGUGGGCACUAGGUGUGGGCGACAUUCCACGUCGUCCGUGCCGCAGCUAACGCAUUAAGUGCCCCGCCUGGGGAGUAC
This 798-nucleotide ribosomal RNA is filed under the name Streptomyces sp. Its description in RNAcentral is "bacterial SSU rRNA". It matches the Rfam family "Bacterial small subunit ribosomal RNA", at positions 72 to 883 of the family's 1533-position model. The record is from RNAcentral. Lineage: Bacteria; Bacillati; Actinomycetota; Actinomycetes; Kitasatosporales; Streptomycetaceae.